RNAcentral lists this ribosomal RNA (439 nucleotides) under uncultured bacterium. RNAcentral's name for it is "bacterial SSU rRNA". It matches the Rfam family "Bacterial small subunit ribosomal RNA", at positions 954 to 1392 of the family's 1533-position model. The record is from RNAcentral.
GCAUAACGCGAAGAACCUUACCUACUCUUGACAUCUACGGAAGACUGCAGAGAUGCGGUUGUGCCUUCGGGAACCGUAAGACAGGUGCUGCAUGGCUGUCGUCAGCUCGUGUUGUGAAAUGUUGGGUUAAGUCCCGCAACGAGCGCAACCCUUAUCCUUAGUUGCCAGCACGUAAUGGUGGGAACUCUAGGGAGGCUGCCGGUGAUAAACCGGAGGAAGGUGGGGACGACGUCAAGUCAUCAUGGCCCUUACGAGUAGGGCUACACACGUGCUACAAUGGUACGUACAGAGGGAGGCAAGCUGGCGACAGUGAGCGGAUCUCUUAAAGCGUAUCGUAGUCCGGAUCGCAGUCUGCAACUCGACUGCGUGAAGUCGGAAUCGCUAGUAAUCGCAAAUCAGAAUGUUGCGGUGAAUACGUUCCCGGGUCUUGUACACACCG